RNAcentral lists this ribosomal RNA (454 nucleotides) under uncultured bacterium. Its description in RNAcentral is "SSU rRNA". It matches the Rfam family "Bacterial small subunit ribosomal RNA", at positions 26 to 518 of the family's 1533-position model. The record is from RNAcentral.
AGAACGAACGCUGGCGGCAUGCCUAACACAUGCAAGUCGAACGUGAUCCAGGCUUCGGCCUGGUGAAAGUGGCAGACGGGUGAGUAACGCGUGGGAACCUGCCCUGUGGUAGGGAAUAACCGUGGGAAACUGCGGCUAAUACCCUAUGAGUCCUUCGGGAGAAAGAUUUAUCGCCAUAGGAGGGGCCCGCGUCGGAUUAGGUAGUUGGUGGGGUAACGGCCUACCAAGCCUUCGAUCCGUAGCUGGUCUGAGAGGAUGAUCAGCCACACUGGGACUGAGAUACGGCCCAGACUCCUACGGGAGGCAGCAGUGGGGAAUAUUGGACAAUGGGGGCAACCCUGAUCCAGCAAUGCCGCGUGGAUGAUGAAGGCCUUCGGGUUGUAAAGUCCUUUCGGCGGGGAAGAUGAUGACGGUACCGCAGAAGAAGCCCCGCUAACUUCGUGCCAGCAGCCGC